AGGCCCCUCCUUCCCGGCCACAGCUCCCUCUCACCCCUGCCACGUCAAAGGAGACAGAAGGGGAGCCGGGAGCAGAGAGGGGACCU
RNAcentral lists this microRNA precursor (86 nucleotides) under Pteropus alecto (black flying fox). RNAcentral describes it as "mir-3154 microRNA precursor family". It matches the Rfam family "mir-3154 microRNA precursor family". RNAcentral also lists the same sequence under 1 other name. Lineage: Eukaryota; Metazoa; Chordata; Mammalia; Chiroptera; Pteropodidae. The record is from Rfam by way of RNAcentral.